This is a long non-coding RNA of Cyprinus carpio carpio, 1141 nucleotides long. Lineage: Eukaryota; Metazoa; Chordata; Actinopteri; Cypriniformes; Cyprinidae. The record is from Ensembl.
CAUUUAUCUGUGGAUGGCGUCUCAACAUCAAAGUCUCCUCAGCACGCUGUGCUCCUCUGAGCAUUGAACAUUUCAAAUGUAGGUCUACAAACUCCAGAAAAAAUGUGUUGUGAAGGCCUUCUGCUUACUAGAGGUGAAAAUACGUGCUGAUGGCAACUAUAGGAGUGAAUCAUUAAUGGAUGAGAACUGCUGAAUAGAAGCACACCUGUGGCAUCAGCAUGGAUGAGAGAGGCCUGGAGAUCUCGACCCAGACAUGCCCUGUCAAAAAGGGUGAAAGCCUGCACCCGUCUGUACGAAUACAAGUCCAAUAUUCAUCCAGACAGCGUGCCCUUUCUCAAAAGUCUGCAUGUACAUUCUGCUUCUCAAAAAACCUAAUUUGAGUCCUCAAGGAGCGACGGCAUCAGGAGAGAAGACACAGCGUGUGCUCACAUCUGUAGCAGCAGAUUUCGUUUCUUGCCACAGGACAUUAAUAAAGCAUGACAGUGACAGGUUAUUUCAAAGAUAAUAGGACCCCAGGACAAAAACUCUCCCGCUUUUCUGCUGAAAGGUCACGGCACAGCAUCGUAGAGACAUUAUGAAAAGGAUGUCUACACUUUAUUGGCUGGCUGAGCUUCAUGAGUCAUUCGGUUUGUGACACAUUGUUUCAUUCCUUGGAGGACUGUGAGCUUUUGUUGGCAGCUGGUAUUUUAUUUCAGAGAUUUCAUUUGAAGUGUAAUGGAACCUCAUCGAUUUCAGGGUUAUUUUCUCAUGACGUAGUUCACUGAAGCUGUUUAUUAGAGUACAUGUAUUCUUCACGGUUAUGUGUCUGCUAAUAUACUCCAUUCUGAGCUUUCUCAUACUGUCAUUCCUGUCUCUUUUGAUAUUGCUCAGUAUUUUGUCCUGUCUUUAAAGCAACUGUAUGUAGUUUUGUGUAUUUUUGCCACUUUGGAGCCCUCUACAGUUAAGUAUAGUAAAAAUAUCAUUGUUGGAAUUACAGUGGAUAGCUGUGCAUGUACAUUUGAUGCUGCUGUAAAACAAUCUGCCAUUUUUGAAGAAUUUCACCAACCUUCACAAUUUUAUUUCUCAUUUUAUUUUUUAUUUUGUUUUAUUUAAUUUUAUGGUUUUAUUUCAUUUCCUUUCUUUUUUUAUUAAUUUGUUUUUU